ACGGGAGGCAGCAGUGGGGAAUAUUGGGCAAUGGGCGAAAGCCUGACCCAGCAACGCCGCGUGAAGGAAGAAGAUCCUCGGAUUGUAAACUUCUUUUAUGAGGGACGAAGGAAGUGACGGUACCUCAUGAAUAAGCACCGGCUAAUUACGUGCCAGCAGCCGCGGUAACACGUAAGGUGCGAGCGUUGUUCGGAAUCAUUGGGCGUAAAGGGCAUGUAGGCGGUCUGUCAAGCCAGGCGUGAAAGCCAGGGGCUCAACCCCUGAACUGCGCUUGGAACUGGCGGACUGGAGUCGCUGAGGGGGAACCGGAAUUCCUGGUGUAGGGGUGAAAUCUGUAGAUAUCAGGAAGAACACCGAUGGCGAAGGCAGGUUUCCAGCAGACGACUGACGCUGAGGUGCGAAGGUGCGGGGAGCAAACAGGAUUAGAUACCCUGGUA
This 437-nucleotide ribosomal RNA is filed under the name uncultured Treponema sp. RNAcentral's name for it is "bacterial SSU rRNA". It matches the Rfam family "Bacterial small subunit ribosomal RNA", at positions 341 to 792 of the family's 1533-position model. The record is from RNAcentral. Lineage: Bacteria; Pseudomonadati; Spirochaetota; Spirochaetia; Treponematales; Treponemataceae.